CAGCCGGGUAAUUCCAGCUCCAAUAGCGUAUAUUAGUGUUGUUGCGGUUAAAAAGCUCGUAGUUGAAUUUCGGGAUUGGGAUAUAUCGGUCGUGCCUUUAGGGGCAUGAAUCGGUGUGUGGCCAAUUCUCACCUUCUGGUGAAUUGGGAUGCUCUCGGGUGUUUCAAUGAACUAGGACUUUUACUUUGAAAAAAUUAGAGUGUUUAAAGCGGGCAUUUUUGCUUGAAUACGUUAGCAUGGAAUAAUAAAAUAGGACGAUGGUUCUAUUUUGUUGGUUUUAGGACCACGUAAUGAUUAAUAGGGAUAGUUGGGGGCAUUAGUAUUCAAUUGUCAGAGGUGAAAUUCUUGGAUUUAUUGAGGACUAACUACUGCGAAAGCAUUUGCCAAGGAUGUUUUCAUUAAUCAAGAACGAAAGUUAGGGGAUCAAAGACGAUUUAUGUACGUCGUAGUCUUAACCAUAAACUAUGCCGACUAGGAAUCAGACAAAGUUAAUUUUUUAACGACUUGUUUGGUACCUUACG
This 521-nucleotide unclassified non-coding RNA is filed under the name uncultured Glomeromycotina. Its description in RNAcentral is "SSU rRNA". It matches the Rfam family "Eukaryotic small subunit ribosomal RNA", at positions 571 to 1092 of the family's 1831-position model. The record is from RNAcentral. Lineage: Eukaryota; Fungi; Glomeromycota.